Molecule: non-coding RNA, 89 nt
Organism: Moorella thermoacetica ATCC 39073
Lineage: Bacteria; Bacillati; Bacillota; Clostridia; Neomoorellales; Neomoorellaceae
Source: Rfam
UGCUCAAAAGGGUAAACCCAUCGAAAGGUGGGGACACAAAGCCAUGGGUCUAAGGUCCUUAAAAGGGCUAUGAUCGCCAGGCUGCCGGC